CCCUCCUUCCCUCCCUCCCUGUCUUUCUCUUUUCUCCCCACUUUCUCUCUCCAAAGCACAAUGCAACACACACACACACACACACACACCACACCCUUCCCACUCACUCUGCCAACAGACUAACUUCGCUCGUCCCCAGGGGCAGCCCUAUUGUAAACGUCCCUGCGGAGGAAUGCUCUUAGUCUCAGAUAUUUCAGGGCAUUCUCAUCCAGGGCCGUGCCCUUCCUCUCAGGUUUGGUUUUAGAAAGUGAGUGAGUGUAGAAAUAAGAAUCCAGCCAUCUUUCGGAGCACACCAGCCCAGAACUAGAGCCAAGUGCCUCUGCAGGAACCUACAGGGUUUCAGAACUGUAGGAUUCUGGAGCCCUAGUGGGCACAGCCCCACAAAGAUGCUGAGGGCACAUGAUGAACAGAGCCAGCAGGAUAGACUCUAGCAAGUGCUCUCUCACCGACUCCCUGUGAAGCUUCUUAGCUGCUCUGUGAACUGAUGCGUCCAUGAAGCUUCCAGUGUUGAAGCUGUGUGUGGUCUCUGCCAGGCCAGAAGAAGAUGUUGGAUCCCCUGGAACUGAGUUACUUGAUGUACUUGCUGGGAAGUGAACUGCUGUUCUCUGAAGAAGCAUCAAUUUCUAUUAACUCCUGAGCCUUAUUGCCAGCCCUCCAGAAGUCCUCUUAGUUCAAGCUCUGACAUCUUGGAAUCUCCACUUCAACCAAGGCUUCACUUUUACAACCUCACCACAAUGGCCUUUAAUGGCCUCACAUGGACUCCAACCCUGCCACACACUGCUGGCCUCAGUGGCUCUCUGAAACCAUGGAAGAAGAUUCAUGACCUCUUCACUCUUAUAUCUUUCAUGUCUUCAAAGCCAGCAUCACAUGGGUGAGCAAGUAUGGCUGCCAACUUAGCAUGGACCAUCACUUCCUCUGACUACAUUAAAUGCACCAGCUUUUAUGUUUUAGCAACCCCCUUUGAAAAUCUCAGCUGGGUGAAGUCUUACCCUGAGGCCACACUCUUCCCAAUGUUCCAAGAAGAACUAGUGGCCUCUCCUUAAUAAUUACAGCCUCUUUCAGCACAUGCCUUGGCUAUGUUCAGUUUCUUAGCACUCCGUUUCUCUCCAAACUGUGUAUUUUAUAUUUCUUUUUGUCCCACCUGCUCUUUUUCAUUAUAUAACUAUAUGAGUUAUCAGUAAUAACUAUGCCUCAGACUCAAUGUUUUGCUGUCUUGAAGUUUUCUCCAUUGGAGUCGGGGUUCAAGGCCCAUGCCCAGCCAAGAACCAAGAUAUCCU
Long non-coding RNA from Grammomys surdaster, 1277 nucleotides. RefSeq lists it as uncharacterized. The record is from RefSeq and is a predicted model, not a curated record. The transcript has 4 exons. Lineage: Eukaryota; Metazoa; Chordata; Mammalia; Rodentia; Muridae.